Molecule: transfer RNA, 72 nt
Filed under: Toxocara canis (dog roundworm)
Lineage: Eukaryota; Metazoa; Nematoda; Chromadorea; Rhabditida; Toxocaridae
Rfam family: tRNA
About the family: Transfer RNA (tRNA) molecules are approximately 80 nucleotides in length. Their secondary structure includes four short double-helical elements and three loops (D, anti-codon, and T loops).
Source: Rfam by way of RNAcentral
GCGGCAAUAGCUCAGUGGUAGAGCCCCAGCUUCGCGUGAGCGGAGACCCGGGUGCGAUUCCCGGCUGCUUCC